GAGAAUAUCCCUCCCAUUCUAUCACAGACUCAUUUGAAAAAAAAGUGACUCUUCUGGUCCUAUAAUUCAAGGUGGCAUUGCAUGAAUGGAGACAGUCCAUCCCUAAGAUGACAUCAAAAUCAACCAUAUCAAGUUCUAUGAGAUCUGCCUCAGUAUCCCAGCUGAAAAUAGACAUAACACAAUUUAUAUACACCCUUUUAGCCACAAUAAAAUCUCCCACCAAGGAGGAAACAAAAAAAGGUUCAACAAUCACAUCAGGC
RNAcentral lists this long non-coding RNA (260 nucleotides) under Capsicum annuum. Its description in RNAcentral is "long non-coding RNA (CANN_LNC006926)". Lineage: Eukaryota; Viridiplantae; Streptophyta; Magnoliopsida; Solanales; Solanaceae. The record is from RNAcentral.